UAAGGAAUAUUGGUCAAUGGACGCAAGUCUGAACCAGCCAUGCCGCGUGGAGGAUGAAGGCCCUCUGGGUUGUAAACUUCUUUUAUUUGGGGACGAAAACACUUCAUUUCUAUGGAGCUUGACGGGACCAGAUGAAUAAGCACCGGCUAACUUCGUG
RNAcentral lists this ribosomal RNA (157 nucleotides) under uncultured bacterium. Its description in RNAcentral is "partial 16S rRNA". It matches the Rfam family "Bacterial small subunit ribosomal RNA", at positions 355 to 507 of the family's 1533-position model. The record is from RNAcentral.